CCUACGGGGCGCAGCAGUGGGGAAUAUUGGACAAUGGGCGAAAGCCUGAUCCAGCCAUGCCGCGUGUGUGAAGAAGGCCUUCGGGUUGUAAAGCACUUUCAGUGGGGAAGAAAGCCUUGGGGCUAAUACCCUCGGGGAAGGACAUCACCCACAGAAGAAGCACCGGCUAACUCCGUGCCAGCAGCCGCGGUAAUACGGAGGGUGCGAGCGUUAAUCGGAAUUACUGGGCGUAAAGCGCGCGUAGGCGGUCUGAUAAGCCGGUUGUGAAAGCCCCGGGCUCAACCUGGGAACGGCAUCCGGAACUGUCAGGCUAGAGUGCAGGAGAGGAAGGUAGAAUUCCCGGUGUAGCGGUGAAAUGCGUAGAGAUCGGGAGGAAUACCAGUGGCGAAGGCGGCCUUCUGGACUGACACUGACGCUGAGGUGCGAAAGCGUGGGUAGCAAACAGGAUUAGAUACCCGUGUAGUC
RNAcentral lists this ribosomal RNA (465 nucleotides) under Vreelandella stevensii. RNAcentral's name for it is "partial 16S ribosomal RNA". It matches the Rfam family "Bacterial small subunit ribosomal RNA", at positions 338 to 795 of the family's 1533-position model. The record is from RNAcentral. Lineage: Bacteria; Pseudomonadati; Pseudomonadota; Gammaproteobacteria; Oceanospirillales; Halomonadaceae.